Molecule: long non-coding RNA, 664 nt
Organism: Leopardus geoffroyi (Geoffroy's cat)
Lineage: Eukaryota; Metazoa; Chordata; Mammalia; Carnivora; Felidae
Exons: 6
Source: RefSeq, a predicted model, not a curated record
UUCAUUCUCUGGAAUGUUGCAGCCCAGGCAAUGAUGAUUGAUACUGACAGGGAAGCUUUCAUGUAGCAAUAUCCCCGGCCACCGGCUGUGAGGCAAAGAGAAAGAACUCUCUGGAAUUCACAACAUUCCCCCUCCAAUUAAUCCCCAGCCACCCCGCUGUGUGUGAAUGGGUUGUGCUGGGGAUUCGUAGCUCUGAUGCGGGAGAUUUGCUGAUUCCUUUGAGCCCCCUGAGGAGAGGUGAUAUGGAGAGCAAAUAAUCAGCAUGCAGCACGGAGGCGAGAGAGGACAAAGAGGCUUAGAAAUUCCUAACCAGCACGGGGUCACAGACUGGAAGUGGUAACUGGAGUCUUCAGGUAAGAGGAAUCUCUACUGUCUAUGAGCCAGUUGUUUACCCAGAGAAGAAUUCCAUCACCUUCAGUUGCUUGCCUGCUGGAAUGACAUGGAUUCUCAUCCCUGAGGAAGUAAUUCUGGAUUCCUUCUCAUGAUAAUGAAGAUCAGUUACCCUUGAGAAGACAAUAACUCCUUUCUUGCCUAUUGUUUCCUGGUAUAAGGAGCUCAAAGUGAACAGGAUUCUGCACUGCCUGCAGCCCUGGGAGACAGAGCAAGUUCAGAAACCUGGUUUAUGCUAGUUUUACAAAGGAGAAAACAGGAUUGGAGAAAUUAA